GAUGAAGAACGUAGCGAAAUGCGAUACUUGGUGUGAAUUGCAGAAUCCCGUGAACCAUCGAGUCUUUGAACGCAAGUUGCGCCCGAAGCCAUCAGGUUGAGGGCACGUCUGCCUGGGCGUCACAUAUCGUUGCCCAAUGCCUAUUGCAGUGCAAUAGGAAUUUCUAGGGCGAAUGAUGGCUUCCCGUGAGCGUUGUUGCCUCGCGGUUGGUUGAAAAUCGAGUCCUUGGUAGGGUGUGCCAUGGUAGAUGGUGGUCGAGUUAGAACGAUACCGAUCAUGUGCAUGCUCCCCAAGAUAUGGCCUCUAUGACCCACACGCGUCUUUUGACGCUCAUGACGAGACCUCAGGUCAGGCGGGGCUACCCGCUGAAUUUAAGCAUAUCAAUAAGCGGAGGA
RNAcentral lists this unclassified non-coding RNA (395 nucleotides) under soil metagenome. RNAcentral describes it as "partial contains 5.8S ribosomal RNA, internal transcribed spacer 2, and large subunit ribosomal RNA". The stretch from base 1 to 122 matches the Rfam family "5.8S ribosomal RNA", at positions 35 to 154 of the family's 154-position model. The record is from RNAcentral.